UAAUAAUAAGGCCUUCCACCUGCUGCAUAUGUGGAAGGUAGUACGUGGUGAGCAGAAGUGGUCUGCAUAUCUAGCAAGGUUGAAGAAGGAAAAUGAAAAGAGUGCAAAGGAUAAUCCAGCUCAAGUGGUAAAUUUGGCAUUAGAUGGGGAAAAGCGACCUAUGGGACAUAAGAACGCAAAAAAAAAGAACUCAAGGGCAAAAGGAAGUCAUCUGAUGCUUUGGCUGAUUUUAGUGAAAAAUUUGACAAGUUCAUUGAAACAAGCACCAAGAAUAGGGAAGAUAGAGAGAAGAUGGCUGAAGUUCAGAAAAGUUUGGCUGAUAAAAAAAUUGAAGCAGCUAGGAUUAAUCAUGAAGCAGCCCAUGAACAAACUAAGUGCAAAAUGCUAGAAACUUACACACAGCUCCUGCUUGUGCCUACUGGUCAGCUCAGUGCAGAUGCUUUGGCUGAAAGAAACUUGGCACUAGAGAGCUUGAGACUUACUUUAUUUCCCAAGUAGCAAGUAUGUGCAAAGAAAUGCGACCAUGGAAGCAAUUUCUAUAAGAUUUGCUUGGAGGACUAUGGACAUGAAGUUCUGAGGAGGAUGACGGAAGGCUUAUCAUUAUCUAAAUACUAUUAUCAUCUAUUUAGUUUGCAAUUCAUAUCUAUGUCACUAUUGUUAUAUAUUGUGAUGGAUGACUCGUGGCUGUUCUAAACUACCAUCGAAGUUCUGUUUAGUAUGUUUGGGUUCUGUGACCGGUACUAUGCACUGUUGUGUUUUCGUUUUUUAAAUCUUAAGUGCUUGUUUGGUGUACAGUAGAUCACAUGGUAUUGUGCCACAGCUGAUCAGCUUUGUUUGUGCUGCACAAUAAAUGGUUUUAUGUAUGGAAACUACUAUUACAUACUUUGCA
Molecule: long non-coding RNA, 889 nt
Organism: Panicum virgatum (switchgrass)
Lineage: Eukaryota; Viridiplantae; Streptophyta; Magnoliopsida; Poales; Poaceae
Exons: 3
Source: RefSeq, a predicted model, not a curated record